UUGCUUAAUAAACAUCAAUAUGCCCUACCUGCAAAAUAGAUAAAUUCAGCUAGAAAAGUAGCAUUGCAAUUGCAGCCAACAGUAAUCAUAAUUAAGCUAAAGAAAGACAUGUUUUUCUUGUCAUCUUUAUUCAAGUAUUUCACAGCAGUUAUAUUACAAAUUACAGUAAAUGUCCAAAAUUCCAGAAUUCAAAAAUUAAAUAAUUUACUUCAAACUAAUGUAAAAUGAAGUCAAAUGCAAAACAUCAACUUAACACAAUUCUAAAUUAAACUACAAACCCAAAAUAGACCAUAGUUGAUGAAGUCUACUUAAUCUACAAGUAGACAUACAUGACUGAAACCAAAAAAGGGCUCCCAAAGCCUAAAUAACCAAAUGUACAAAAUACAAAAGAUGCAAAUACAAGCCCAAAUUCAAGCUCACAACAUGAUUACAAAUAAUAAUUAUAAUAACAAUGGUAUUCAGCUACGGGACCUGACACUGAAGAUACCUACUGAAUAGCACCAUAGCUGAACCAACUUAAUCAAAAAAUGGGAAGAUAAGAUAUUACCACCCCAACUCCCUAAAAAUAAAAUCCAGUAAACCUACAAAUACAUUGGCAUAUGAGAAAAAUCAAGUCAUGAAAGGACAUAAAACAAAGCAAAAAAAUUAAUCACAGGUGAGAUUCAAGCUCAAAAACACAAUUAACUCCACAGCCAUCAGUUUCAACCUUAGUGCAGUUCCAUCCUCCUCAAAAAGCUCCCAUGGUCCCCACAGUUGAGCAUUAACUACUGUUGGGCUGUGCUGUGAUACCUAUUUUACUGAUCUGAGAGCAAUGUUUUACACAGGAGCUUAUCAUUUAUAAUGCUCACAAUAGGAAAUAAGAACAGAGGUCAAUUUGUACAUAUUUUUGCCAAUGCUAUACAGCAAAAAUUAAGAACUUACAGAAAGGUAAACAAAAUUGAGUCCACUUGGAUAAUUUCACAAGCUGCUUUAAAUUAUAGAACCAUCAGAUAUCUGAAAAAUAAGCAAAACUGGUAUAGUGUGUUUCUCUUUGGGGGGAAAGGAGGCCGGAGGAGUUGG
RNAcentral lists this long non-coding RNA (1059 nucleotides) under Equus asinus (donkey). RNAcentral describes it as "lncRNA (ENSEASG00005027812.1)". The record is from RNAcentral. Lineage: Eukaryota; Metazoa; Chordata; Mammalia; Perissodactyla; Equidae.